RNAcentral lists this ribosomal RNA (386 nucleotides) under uncultured bacterium. Its description in RNAcentral is "bacterial SSU rRNA". It matches the Rfam family "Bacterial small subunit ribosomal RNA", at positions 355 to 758 of the family's 1533-position model. The record is from RNAcentral.
UGGGGAAUUUUGGGCAAUGGGCGAAAGCCUGACCCAGCAACGCCGCGUGAGGGAUGAAGUAUUUCGGUAUGUAAACCUCGAAAGAAUGGGAAGAAUAAAUGACGGUACCAUUUAUAAGCUCCGGCUAACUACGUGCCAGCAGCCGCGGUAAUACGUAGGGAGCAAGCGUUGUUCGGAUUUACUGGGCGUAAAGGGCGCGUAGGCGGCGCGGUAAGUCACUUGUGAAAUCUCUGAGCUUAACUCAGAACGGCCAAGUGAUACUGCUGGGCUGGAGUUCGGAAGAGNCAAACGGAAGUCGUGGUGGAGCGGUGAAAUGCGUAGAGAUCAAGAGGAACACCUGAGGCGAAGGCGGGUUGCUGGGCCGACACUGACGGUGAUGCGCGAAA